GACAUUAAAGUAUGUUUUCAGCAUUUUGGUCUUCGGAAUUACACAUAAUCACCACAUACUGCAAGGCAAAGUGUGCUGUCGAAAGAAAACAACAUCAGUGGUUUGAUUCGUUCUAUUUGAAGACCCUGGGAUACCAUCUCAUAGAGAGAGGAGGCUUGGCACACUCUCAUCGUUCAGGUGAGCACCUGAACAUAAAUCUGAAUAUGUUUUUUUGUAAAUACAUUUGGAUACAGGCUGUUG
Molecule: long non-coding RNA, 240 nt
Organism: Lepisosteus oculatus (spotted gar)
Lineage: Eukaryota; Metazoa; Chordata; Actinopteri; Semionotiformes; Lepisosteidae
Source: Ensembl